Carya illinoinensis is the source of this 918-nucleotide long non-coding RNA. RefSeq lists it as uncharacterized. The transcript has 3 exons. The record is from RefSeq and is a predicted model, not a curated record. Lineage: Eukaryota; Viridiplantae; Streptophyta; Magnoliopsida; Fagales; Juglandaceae.
CAACGCAGGAAUCUGUUGGUUUGGAAUUGAGGCAAUCUGAUCAAAGCAGUGAAAUAGUGCUUGAAGGAGAACAGCGCCUUCCUUUCUCUGAGCCUUGUGAGAGUUCCGAUGCUCUUUCAAGGUUAGCUUCAGUAAAGACUGGCAUGAAGGAGGCAUCCUGCUACUGACCCUUGUGAAAGUUCUGAUACCGUUUCAAGGUAAUUAGCUUCAAUAAAGACUGGCACGAAGGAGGCAUCCUGCGAAGCAGAGCAAACUGGUGAGUCAGGAAAAGUAUGUGCAUCUGCUGGUUCGACCUUGUCGUAUGGAUUUUCAGCUUCCAUUUUGGCUUUACACGAGGCAUAUGGGAUUUCAUCUGCUAAUCUUGCCAUGAAAAAAUGGAAGGGAGAAGGUUCAUCUUACCAAGAAAACUCGGCCAUGCCUUUUCCGUUUGAUAAACAAAAGGACAGUGCCGGGGACUUCGCUUACACCUCAAGUCCGCAGUUUGAGCAAAGCCAAUAAUGACCAAGUUGCCAUUGCUAUAGACCUGGAUCCUAAUACUGGUGGUAAAUUAGAAGAUGAAGACGAUGAUAAAGGUGAACCUAGAAGAAUACAGGAUUUCUUGUGAUCGGGCUCAGGUGCGACGACCAGCUUUAUGGCUUGGAAAUAAUCUAUUGGGCCAUAUUGCAUGCACUUCUGGCCACUCUAGUGGUUUGAGAAAAAACGUUCUGGUCAGUCUUCCUCUCUUAUUACCAUGACACAAGAAAUAGAUUGAGAAUUUGUUUACUCCAAAACCAACCGAGCUAUCGAAGGUUUGCACUUUUACGACUGUUGUAUUUACAGCUCUCUAUAAUCGUAAAACUUGUACCAACAAAAGUUUGUGUCUGCGCUUUACGCACGUGUUUCGUGCCCGCCAAAUUCGCUUCUGCUUAAUUUAGCUAG